RNAcentral lists this small RNA (3413 nucleotides) under Caenorhabditis elegans. Its description in RNAcentral is "Unclassified non-coding RNA C16C8.29". Lineage: Eukaryota; Metazoa; Nematoda; Chromadorea; Rhabditida; Rhabditidae. The record is from RNAcentral.
GAAACCCAGCUAUACGCUGUUCAAAGAGACUCUGGACAUAAGCGAGAAGCUUUUGGAAAAACAAUUCGAAUUCAACGAUGAGAUGAAGCAAAUUCAGCAGAACGUGAUGUCGGAGUUGAAAUCUGUGAAAAAAGAACUGAAACAGGCGACAUCAAUUAAGGAUCUUCUUGAGAUUCUCGAAAUAAUCCAGAAGAUUUUUAAAAAACAAGACGAAUUUCAGCAAGUCCAGGAAAAUCAAAACAAAUCGAUCGAAAAUUUGAAUUCGGAAUUGAAGACUGUCAAAGCAGAGCUGAAUGAGACGAAAAAGCAACAAGAGUCUCAGGAAAAAUUGAUCGACAAUUCGGAUAAAAACUUGAAACUGAUUUUAGAAUCGAUAUUGAAAUUUCAGAAAAGUCAAGAUCAGAUUAUGAUGAAGAUUAUGGAAGGAUCAGCUGUGCAAGACGUCCCACUUGGAACUGUAGAAUUGACAAAAAUUGACCCAUUUUUUGAGAUUUUGGUUAUCUGGACCGAAUCGUGUGGCAUAUUCGCGUCUGAAAACCACUGGAAACUUCGCGUGUGCGGAUCGGAUACAAUUCGACACAUCAAACUUCGCAUCAAUUCACUUGCAAAAGUAGACAUCAGCUCGUUCAGAAUGGUGCUUCGUGGUUGGUUGGUUUCAAAGUAGAUUUAAAAAUAAAAUUCGAAUUUCAGGAAAACUUCUCGAAGACCACCACUCUCUCGCCUACUACAACAUUCAAGAAGGCGCAUUAAUUUGGCUAUACUCUCGUUGAAUCAUAAUUAUUCUAAUUUUCAUUCACUUUUUUCAAGAUAUUGUUAUUUUGCGAAUAAAUAAUUGUUAACUAAAAUUGUUCGCUUUUCACAGAUUUUUUUUAAAAAUGAUUCUGCAAUCAUUUGGAUAUUUGAUUUACUCAAAAAUAAAAGCAACUUUCUUGGUUUUCGGUUCUUGUUCAGUUUUUAGAGAGUUUUUUCUCGAAUUUACCUGGGAAAUUAGAAAAGUUAACUAGGAACUUCUUUGCAUUUCAAAAAUUAUCAAAAAGCUUUUUUUUUUCAGAUUUAAAAAUGUCGGAGACAAGCAGUUUGAUGUCUCAAUUCCAAAAACUUCGCGUUGAAACUUCCAAGAUAUACAAUGAAUUCACAGAGGUGAGAAUAAUAAUAAUAAUUUAUUACGCUCGCUGGGAGACGUGAAGGAAUACAGAAUACAAAAGUUAUCAUUGUUCGCUUGAACUAGAAUUGGUGCAGUCGGGCAGUUGUUUCCAUUCCAUUAGAAUGUUGUCCUUGUCCUUGCUUGUCCUUGCGCAGACUCCCCCAUAGUGGGCGAACGAUUCCCGAGUGAAAAAAAAGAUUUUGAAAAAACACGAUUGUCAAAAAACCCAGAAAAAUCAAAACAGGGUGAUCGAAAAUUUGAUAUUGGAUUUGGAGAUGGUCAAAAAUGAGACUAGUGAUAUGAAAAAGCAACAAGAGACUCAGAUUUUGAAGGAACAAGACGAAUUUCAAGAUGAGAUUAGGCAAGAAUUUCUGAAAAUCCAGGAAAAUGAAAACAAAUUGAUCGAAAAGUUGAUGUCGGAAUUGAAAACUCUCAAAACAGAGCUGAAUGAGACUAAAAAUCAAAUAAGUGACCUGCAUAAUGCAACAAAGCAACAGGAGUCUCAGGCACAAUCGAUGAAUGAUCUUCUAACCAAGAAUUCGAAUAAUAAUCUGAAAAUGAUGCUGAAAAUUCAGGAAGGUCAAGAUCGGAUUAUGAUGAAGAUUCAAGAAGGAGCUGCUGUGAAAGACGUCCCAAUUGAAUCUGGAGAAUUGGCAAAGAAUGACUCAAUGUUUAAGAUUUUUGUUUCCUGGUCCAUUCCGGGUGGCAUAUUCGUGUCUGAAAACCGCAGGAAACUACCAGUGUACGAAUCGAACACAAUUCGACAAAUCAAACUGCGCAUCAAUUCACUUGUAGGAAUAGACAUCGGCUCGUUCAGCUCGUACUGUGAUGGUCGGUUGUUUUCGAAAUUGCUUUUUAAAAUAAAAUUUGCAUCUCAGAUAAAAUUCUCGAAGACGACCACACUCUCGCUCACUACAACAUUUCGUACAACAAUUCGCGUAUUCUCAUAAUUCUCCAUUUUUGCUCAUUUUCAACUUGAAUUUCACCGUUAAUGACAAUUAAUGAAUCUUUUUUUGUUUCAGAAUCCUCAAGUUCAUGGAAUUCUCCAGCUCAUAAUUUUUUAUCGAUUUUUUUAAAUUAUUGCCGAUACUAAAGUUCCCGGCAGUUUGCGAAUAAAUAAUUGUGAAAAUCCAAGAAAAUCAAAACAAAUUGUUCGAAAAUUUGAUGUCGGAAUUGAAAACUGUCAAAACAGAGCUGAUUGAGACGAAAAAUCAAAUAAAUGGUCUUCCUACCAAGAUUUCGGAUAACAAUCUGGAAAUGAUACUGAAAAUUCAGAAAAGUCAAGAUCAGAUGAAGAUUCAGGAAGGAGAAUUUGCGAAGAAGAUCGAAGAAUCAGUUGCACCUGUGAAAACACCGCUGGAAGCCCCAAUUGAAGAUAAAAAAUUGGAUAAUAAAAAACCAUUUUUCAAGAUUACUGUACAUUUGCAUGGAGGUCCUAAUGCAUCCGUAUAUGGAAGAAAGUACAAUCAUCUCGUGUUCGAUGCGCAUACGAUUCGUGAUCUUAAAGUGCGGAUCAAGGCACUUAUUAUGCAGUCCAGUCCAAUAAAACUGAGAACCGAAUUGUACAGAUUGUUCUUUGUUUGUUAGUUUAAAUCCCCCUUUCUUCAUAAUUUUUUAAUUAUACUUUCAGAUACACUUCUCGAAGACCACCAAACUAUCGCUUAUUACAAAUUCAAGAAGGCUCAACACUUGACCUGAUUCCGCUAUAAUUUUUUGAAUUUUAUCGAUUUUUUCUUGUGAAUAAUUUAUAGCUCCCUCACUUUAUUUGCCGAUUGAAAAAAUUAAAACAUAUUUUUCGAUUUUCACAUAUUUAAUUAUUUAAAAUUAUUUUUGCAAUCAUUUGGAUAUUUCCUUGAUCAAAAUUCAAAACUGCAAAAAAACUUUUUUAAAAAAAUUUUUGCGCGUAAUUUUAAGUGCAAAGUCUGCAAACACGUUGCGUACUCCGCCACCUACCGUAGUUUCCAAUGAAAAUUUGCCUGAACAUCUUUUCCGGUUUUCUUGGUUCUUGUUCAGUUUUUUUUUUUGAAAAGUUCCAAUGAUUUUUCGAGUUUCUUUUCCGUAUUUUCCCUUAAAAAUAUCGAAAUUAACUAAAAAAUGUGGUUUUAUUUGCAAAAAUUGUCUAGAAUCAGCUUUGUUAAGCGGUUUAACACGAAAACCUUUCAAAAUGUUUUUUUUUUCAGAUUUCAAAAUGUCGGGGCCAAGCGAUUUGAUGUCUGAAUUUCGAAAACUUCGCGUUGAAGCUUCCAAGAUUCAGAAUGAGUUCAAAGAG